RNAcentral lists this long non-coding RNA (579 nucleotides) under Gossypium raimondii (Peruvian cotton). RNAcentral describes it as "long non-coding RNA (GRAI_LNC003922)". Lineage: Eukaryota; Viridiplantae; Streptophyta; Magnoliopsida; Malvales; Malvaceae. The record is from RNAcentral.
AGUUUCUGUCUUUUUGGCUCUGGCUCAUCAGGAAGUGGUGGAGGAGCUUCUUCAGGUGGUGGCGGCGGAGGAAUUCCUUGAGGCAAAGGUGGAGGUGGCUGCAUCAUGGGCAUAGAAGGUGGUGGGACAGGAAGUGGGGCAAAGGGUCGAGGAACUGAGACGGCAGUAAAUUGAGAACCUGGUGGAGGUGGCACAGGCAUAUUAACUGGGUUCAUGGACAUUGUUGGAGACAUUUGUGGCGGUCGAUUCAUCAUCAUGGGUUGUUGGCCAGGUGCCAUCUGCAUAGGAGGUGGUGCCUGACGCAUUGACUGCAUUACUGGAACACCAAUUGGACGAGGUUGAGGUAACGACAUAGGAAGCCCCCCACUAGAUGCGGCAGAAUAUUGGGGAGCAUUUGGAGGAACACGAGGGAGAUUUAAAGCUAGUCCAGGAGGUGGGGGGAGGGGUCGAACUGAUGGGACACCAGGUCGAGGAGGAGGAGCAGCAGGACCAGGAAGGUUCUGUGAAAUGCUGUUAGCAGCAUCAUUUGGAUCUUCUCCCAUGAUGGUUUGAGACAUAGCCUGGUUUGCGGUACGUCCA